GGGCGCGUAGCUCAGCGGCAGAGCACCUCGGUGACAUCGAGGGGGUCAUAGGUUCAAAUCCUAUCGCGCUCACCA
This 75-nucleotide transfer RNA is filed under the name bacterium. Its description in RNAcentral is "tRNA-Val". It matches the Rfam family "tRNA". Rfam says of the family: Transfer RNA (tRNA) molecules are approximately 80 nucleotides in length. Their secondary structure includes four short double-helical elements and three loops (D, anti-codon, and T loops). The record is from RNAcentral.